GAGCGUAUUGACAAUUGGAACAUGAUCACGUGGGCUCUACUGGCAUCAUUCUGAAAACAAGACGAUGCCUUGGCUAUCCCAAACAUUUUAAUCUUUCCAGUGAAGGAAUUUGCCGCUAUUGGCACGUUCAUGAGUCAAUAUCGACCAGCCCGUACCUCCCCAGUCCUUCUUCGACGGAUGAGUCCGUAGCGCGCGCCCUAUUCAACGGAUCUCCAUCUAAACCAACGUACACUCUACGAAACCAAACGCGCAUUAACACAGCAUCUCCCUAGUCGGCAUCAGUAGGUCUGGAGGGUGCCACAAAUACAGUUGUAACUGCGUCGGUAAUGCCUCGUGGGAUGUGCAUAGUUUAAUCUGGUCUGCUUACGAGGCUCUGAUCGCAGCCGGCUGCGUUUCACCCAGCAAUGAAGUUAACCAGAUAUUUACGUGAAAAAAAAAAUAAUUUCAUGAACGUCGGUCAACGACUAACUGUUACAGGUCUAAUUGGCCUAACGGUAGGCACGAUUGCAACCUUUAUUUAUACGUACAUUGAUCUCAAGCUGACUCAGAGUGCUACUCGAGGAUCGCAGGAGUUGCAGGCAUUAACGCAGUCUAAACCGCAAAACUAAGCUGUUCGUAUACAGCGAUAGUUGAUGCUAGCUUUUCUUGUUGACCACUAGACGGGGAAAACGGUGAGUAAUCUACUAACGGGCUAGGUAGCCCGACGAAGGACUGGCCUCUGUUAGCUUCGGAGACAAAGCUAGACUCCAAGGGAUUCCGCAUUACAUAGCUCAAUGAUGUUACGGCGCCUCACUUAAAGAGACAGCAGAAGUUCUGGAGAGACAUGAUGGGUCUUGAGGCGAGCUGGUCCACUCUACAGUCGGACCAUGGAGUACAUACUAUAUCUAUCAAGCGAGACAACUCAAAGCUCAAGUUUUUAUCGCCUGCGGAGAAGAAGCCGGGUUCUUCAAAUAGAACAAAGACGGAGCAAUAAAUCAUCUUUACUUCGAAGUCGACAACGUCAAAGCUCCUAUAUAACACAUUAAGAAGCGCGGAAUCAGGUAAAUAUAGCAUAAUAAUAAAAUAUAAACAACGUUUCCAUAUCGCUACUUAGCUACACGAAUACUUCAAAUCGACUUCGUUUCAUUUAAUGAUGUAACUAGCUCCUUACUGAAUAGCAGCCUAUUACGGGGUAAAAGUUUUUGGCUAUAGGAAGUCAAGAAUUACUCAUCUGGGUUUCAUGGACCUCCGAUACUUCCGUGUUGGAAGUAAUGACAGCGAUGUCAAAAUGAAGAAAAUCAGUGGAUUAUCUGCUCGCUUUUCUUGUCUCUUUGUGGUAAUAUAGAAGCAACAAUAUUUAAUUGGUUUGCAUUAAAACGUUCCCACAAACGCCGUCAAGGCAUAAUGCCUCAAAGUGAUUCUACGUUAACUUCAAAUUUAUUUUGAUAAAAGCAAAUUCUCUCUACAUUUAAACAUUUUAAAUGUUCAUUCUCAAUCGAAGCACGCUUGUGUUACAUUAUGAACUAUGUAUUCUCUGGUUUUCUGCUGCGCCUUGUCGCUUGCGAGCUACACGUGUCUAAGUGAAGAACCGGAAAUAGGAGCGCACGGGAAACCGGUAGUGUUUCUUCAUCCGAAGACUUGCGGCAGCGUUCUCGUGGAGCUUGAAGAAAUUUAGAUUUAUAAUCCAAGUUUAAAUUAUAAGAAUGUUGCCUGCUCAAUAGAACUACAUGCCAUGAACGCCUAUAUCUCCGGUUAUUGACGUCUUAUCGUAUAUUAAAACUGUAAUGUAAAAUAAUGUAAUAAAAAACCCUUU
Molecule: long non-coding RNA, 1792 nt
Organism: Varroa destructor (honeybee mite)
Lineage: Eukaryota; Metazoa; Arthropoda; Arachnida; Mesostigmata; Varroidae
Source: RefSeq, a predicted model, not a curated record